CCUCCACCAAGUUUCCGCGCCCACUGCUCCCGCCCCGACCCUCUGGGAUGGGGCGUGGCCUCCCGGGGCGGAACCCAAAGGAAACUCAGUGCCUGCGCCCUCUGCUGGUGAAGCGAGGAAUGGAAGGAAAGAGGUGGGAUCCAAGGUAGAACCUGCGCACAAGCCAAAGAGAAGCCUUGCCGUCCAUGUUCUUUAUGGCCUGGGCUUGUUGCCUCCGGGAGUGAAUCGUGGCUGUGCUCGCAUUAAGACAGGAACUUGA
Molecule: long non-coding RNA, 259 nt
Filed under: Rattus norvegicus (Norway rat)
Lineage: Eukaryota; Metazoa; Chordata; Mammalia; Rodentia; Muridae
Description: long non-coding RNA NONRATT033602
Source: RNAcentral